AGUCUUAUAUUCAACUAUGAUUUUAAAUUGCAAAUUUAAAGGUAGAUUUUUAAAUUAAAUCUUAAGGCUU
RNAcentral lists this transfer RNA (70 nucleotides) under Thaumatosmylus hainanus. Its description in RNAcentral is "tRNA-Cys". Lineage: Eukaryota; Metazoa; Arthropoda; Insecta; Neuroptera; Osmylidae. The record is from RNAcentral.